Molecule: ribosomal RNA, 492 nt
Filed under: uncultured bacterium
Lineage: Bacteria
Description: partial 16S ribosomal RNA
Rfam family: Bacterial small subunit ribosomal RNA
Source: RNAcentral
AGUGAACGCUGGCGGUAGGCCUAACACAUGCAAGUCGAACGGCACCACAGUAAGAGCUUGCUCUUACGGGUGGCGAGUGGCGGACGGGUGAGGAAUACAUCGGAAUCUACUUUUUCGUGGGGGAUAACGUAGGGAAACUUACGCUAAUACCGCAUACGACCUACGGGUGAAAGCAGGGGAUCUUCGGACCUUGCGCGAUUGAAUGAGCCGAUGUCGGAUUAGCUAGUUGGCGGGGUAAAGGCCCACCAAGGCGACGAUCCGUAGCUGGUCUGAGAGGAUGAUCAGCCACACUGGAACUGAGACACGGUCCAGACUCCUACGGGAGGCAGCAGUGGGGAAUAUUGGACAAUGGGCGCAAGCCUGAUCCAGCCAUACCGCGUGGGUGAAGAAGGCCUUCGGGUUGUAAAGCCCUUUUGUUGGGAAAGAAAAGCAGCAGGUUAAUACCCCGCCGUUCUGACGGUACCCAAAGAAUAAGCACCGGCUAACUUCGUG